GGGAAUUUAGCUCAGUGGCACAGCACCUGCCUGGCAAGCACGGGGUCCUGAGUUCAAUCCCCAGUACCA
RNAcentral lists this transfer RNA (69 nucleotides) under Heterocephalus glaber (naked mole-rat). It matches the Rfam family "tRNA". From Rfam's summary of the family: Transfer RNA (tRNA) molecules are approximately 80 nucleotides in length. Lineage: Eukaryota; Metazoa; Chordata; Mammalia; Rodentia; Bathyergidae. The record is from Rfam by way of RNAcentral.